GGGGCUGUGGUGUAGCUUGGUUAGCAUCGCGGCUUUGGGAGCCGUAGACCCCGGUUCAAAAAGGGUUGACUGCAUUGACAAAUCAAGGCAAGUAGUCUCUCUUGUGUUUCCGGGCAGCCCCA
This 122-nucleotide transfer RNA is filed under the name Candidatus Aenigmatarchaeota archaeon. Its description in RNAcentral is "tRNA-Pro". The record is from RNAcentral. Lineage: Archaea; Nanobdellati; Candidatus Aenigmatarchaeota.